GUAUUAGUAGAGCCUUUCUGCAAGAAAAGGUCAACAGAGAAAUUGUCAAAAUCUCUAAACUCCAUUUCCUUCCGUAUCAACAUACAUUUCUCCUUUUCCGCACAUGCGUAUUCCGAGAUCUGCACCACCUUCAGCCAUCUCUUUCAAAGACGACAUUCGAGAAGAAUGGAUUAACUAGACGGUGAAUUUCUGGAAGAAAUCCAUGGCCUUCGCAAUGUCAAGUAUGCAGCACCGAUUCAUUGGGAAAAUAGGGGGCCGCUCUUUCAUCGCCCUUCCUCCAUGCUAUGAAGGACUGGACUACCAUCACACUAUGCCAUUGCCCCUGUCGGCAAACAGCGGCCAACAAGCGGCUCGUGACCAAGGUAUUCCAGCAAACAACUGAGACCCAAGAAAUGGAUGGGAAGGUCGAUUUAUGACGCAGCAUGCAAGCUACGAGAGAUAUGGAAAAAUCAGUGAGAGCAAUUGCUCGAUGGAAUUCAGAAGGCGAAAGGAAAUCCAUGGUUGAACACUGCAGUGUUCUCGGACGCAUGCGGCUAUCCGCGAUACAUUACUAACCACUGCUAUCUUUGGACAACGCUUUUACUUCGAUCAAUAUCCAUCACCGCACACACAUCCCCUCCUGCAUUCCACUUCAAUUGCCCUCAUAUCCUGCCUGCUAACAAAGUGACCGGAUGGCCCACGAAGAAAUCUGUCCAGGUUUGCGCCCCAACCCAACUUUCAUGCCCGGCAUAAAAACAUCAUCUCCACCAUACACUCAUCCUUAUCAAGCUCUGCCCACCGGCAUCGUUAUUCUCGAACCCUAUACUGGCGAAGGUCAACCAUGAAAUAAUGUGCAAUUCCGAGGAGUAUGAAUUCGCCCUAUGCCAAUGCCUACAAUCGCUCCAAAACAGUGCAGCAUGGCCAGAAGAGCAGCGUCUCAAUCGCUUUGGGGGGAGCAUUCAAGACUCUGAUAGUCUCAGGUGGGGUGUGAUGGAAGAGAAGACGGGUGGAGAGAUGAAGGGUAUUCCAUGCCCAUAAAGCAAGCUACGGCAACUAAAAAAGGCAUCAACCUCAAGACAUCAUUCCUCUUUCAUAGAGUUGACCAGGCAAUAACAGGAAGCAAUUUAAUCCACAGACAAUGCUAGCAAAUCCACAGACAAUGCUAGCAAUUUAUACUAUUUAUGUCUACUUAGUAUUUGGGCACUACUUCUCGUGUUGUUCUCUUGUAAUGAUAAUACCCAUUUGCAGGUACUCCCGGGGGAAUUGGCAUCCCUCUCGCACCUGCUCCAUCAUUGGCUCGAGUCGAUGACCCAUCCCAGGCCUCUGGAGGCCAUCCGAUGAAAAAGAUACUGCAUCAAUAUCAGCAUAGUUUUAGGGUGAUAACAGAACUACAGAACCGGAACAGCCUACAUGAUCAUGAGAAUAGCCGCCGUCAAUCCCAUCCACAUCUUCCAGAAUCGAUGUCGUGUGAGCUCGGAGAUGUAAGAGCUGCAAAACCACAGAAGGACUUACCGCAGAUCCGAUAUGUACCUCGAUGUUUGAUACCUCGAAAGCACGAUGGGCAAUGCUCCAUCCAUAAAUGGAGAAUGUCCACGCAGCUACUGUGGUUGUUGUGCCAAUGCGCUAGAGUAUCUUGGUCAGCUCCCCAUUUUAUGAAGCCAGUGGUGGACAAUUCACUUCCAUGAUGAGGAAAAACAUCCUAUUGCCCACUGUACGUAACGCCUUGUUUUCGUGGACAAACAACAAUGGGACCACAGACAAAACGGUUAAGAAUACAAAGACAAUAGCUAUCACAAUUGCGUUAUUACAAGAGGACUUGUCUUUGGUCGGUGAAAGUACAUACCCAUUGCCCAAAGCAUCAUCCCCCCCGUCAAAGCCUUAUUCACUUGCGUACCAUAUUCAUACCCCACCCGAUUCUGUAAGCAGUAAUCUGGCGAACACCAGCCAAAUGAGCCGAACGUUGUGUCGCCAGCCAAAGAUGGAUUUUUCAGCCAACUGAUAGACGGGAUGAAGGGGGAGGAAAAUGCGCAUAGGAUACUGUGUGGUUAGUCGUCAAUUUUACAAAAGGAACGAAGCCAAACCACAAAGUCACUUACAUGAGCACGAGAGAGGCAAGAGACAAGACGAAAAGGAUGAUGACAUGCGCCCCGUAAGGGAACUUGUACGUGAAUACCAUACGGACCAAAGGUGAUGUUAGAGUUCGGAGGGCGAUGAGCUGGGCUGCUGCUUAUCAAAAGGCAGCGAUGAACAACUGAAGUUGGGCGAGACUGUUAACUUGGUUGUCGCUGCUUUCAGAGGAUAGGAUAUAGAUCAGAUGGUAAGGAUGGCGAAAUGAGUACCUUCUUUACUUCGAUAGCUUGAUAUAAGUAGGCAAAUAUGCUCACGUUACUGUAAUCCCUUUGUUUGAUCAUCGGCU
RNAcentral lists this small RNA (2395 nucleotides) under Cryptococcus neoformans H99. RNAcentral's name for it is "Cryptococcus neoformans var. grubii H99 hypothetical RNA". The record is from RNAcentral. Lineage: Eukaryota; Fungi; Basidiomycota; Tremellomycetes; Tremellales; Cryptococcaceae.